Molecule: ribosomal RNA, 761 nt
Filed under: Prevotella melaninogenica
Lineage: Bacteria; Pseudomonadati; Bacteroidota; Bacteroidia; Bacteroidales; Prevotellaceae
Description: bacterial SSU rRNA
Rfam family: Bacterial small subunit ribosomal RNA
Source: RNAcentral
GAUGAACGCUAGCUACAGGCUUAACACAUGCAAGUCGAGGGGAAACGGCAUUUAGUGCUUGCACCGAAUGGACGUCGACCGGCGCACGGGUGAGUAACGCGUAUCCAACCUACCCAUUACUGUGGGAUAACCUGCCGAAAGGUAGACUAAUACCGCAUAGUCUUCGAUGACGGCAUCAGAUUUGAAGUAAAGAUUUAUCGGUAAUGGAUGGGGAUGCGUCUGAUUAGCUUGUUGGCGGGGUAACGGCCCACCAAGGCUACGAUCAGUAGGGGUUCUGAGAGGAAGGUCCCCCACAUUGGAACUGAGACACGGUCCAAACUCCUACGGGAGGCAGCAGUGAGGAAUAUUGGUCAAUGGACGGAAGUCUGAACCAGCCAAGUAGCGUGCAGGAUGACGGCCCUAUGGGUUGUAAACUGCUUUUGUAUGGGGAUAAAGUUAGGGACGUGUCCCUAUUUGCAGGUACCAUACGAAUAAGGACCGGCUAAUUCCGUGCCAGCAGCCGCGGUAAUACGGAAGGUCCAGGCGUUAUCCGGAUUUAUUGGGUUUAAAGGGAGCGUAGGCUGGAGAUUAAGUGUGUUGUGAAAUGUAGACGCUCAACGUCUGAAUUGCAGCGCAUACUGGUUUCCUUGAGUACGCACAACGUUGGCGGAAUUCGUCGUGUAGCGGUGAAAUGCUUAGAUAUGAUGAAGAACUCCGAUUGCGAAGGCAGCUGACGGGAGCGCAACUGACGCUUAAGCUCGAAGGUGCGGGUAUCAAACAGG